This 74-nucleotide transfer RNA is filed under the name Microcaldota archaeon. RNAcentral describes it as "tRNA-Lys". It matches the Rfam family "tRNA". Rfam says of the family: Transfer RNA (tRNA) molecules are approximately 80 nucleotides in length. Their secondary structure includes four short double-helical elements and three loops (D, anti-codon, and T loops). Lineage: Archaea; Nanobdellati; Microcaldota. The record is from RNAcentral.
GGGCCCGUAGCUCAGCUUGGCAGAGCACCUGGCUUUUAACCAGGGUGCCGUGGGUUCGAAUCCCACCGGGCCCG